Canis lupus familiaris (dog) is the source of this 594-nucleotide non-coding RNA. The record is from the annotation of a RefSeq genome assembly. NCBI's taxonomy places the organism in Eukaryota, Metazoa, Chordata, Mammalia, Carnivora, Canidae.
AAUAGGGCCCUUUCUUGGCUGAUUAAACCAGCCCAGCCCUGACCCUGCAGCUGGGAGAGGAGCCCCAGCCCCAGGAUCCCCAGGUAACACCAUUCAGUGCUCACGACACAACACAGACAAACCACUAUGGAGUCUGUGCUCAGCUGGGUUUUCCUUGUCGCUAUUUUAAAAGGUGUCCAGGGUGAAGUGCAGCUGGUGGAGUCUGGGGGAGACCUCGUGAAGCCUGGGGGGUCCCUGAGACUCUCCUGUGUGGCCUCUGGCUUCACCUUCAGUAGCUAUUGGAUGAGCUGGGUCCGCCAGGCUCCAGGGAAAGGGUUGCAGUGGGUUGCAUACAUUAACAGUGGUGGAAGUAGCACAUACUAUGCAGACGCUGUGAAGGGCCGAUUCACCAUCUCCAGAGACAACGCCAAGAACACGCUGUAUCUGCAGAUGAAAAGUCUGAGAGCCGAGGACACGGCCGUAUAUUACUGUGUGAGGGACACAGACAUCGUGGCUUCUCGCAUAGUUUGCCUAUGGGUAUUUGUGGACAUUGCUGCUGUAAACAUUGGGGUGCACGUAUCCUGCCGCUUCACUACAUCUGUAUCUUUUGGAUAA